Molecule: signal recognition particle RNA, 98 nt
Filed under: Gammaproteobacteria bacterium
Lineage: Bacteria; Pseudomonadati; Pseudomonadota; Gammaproteobacteria
Description: signal recognition particle sRNA small type
Rfam family: Bacterial small signal recognition particle RNA
About the family: The signal recognition particle (SRP) is a universally conserved ribonucleoprotein involved in the co-translational targeting of proteins to membranes. Archaeal SRP consists of a 7S RNA and homologues of the eukaryotic SRP19 and SRP54 proteins.
Source: RNAcentral
CGGUUGUUUACCCGCGUCGCGACGUUGGAAACUCCGUCAGGCCCGGGAGGGAGCAGCGGUAACAGCGGAUGCGAAUGCCGGGCGUAUGGCCGGUGUGG